AUGCCUACUCAUACAAAAACGACAGCAAUUUUUUUUAUGUUUGAGCAACGAAUUCGUUGUGUCAAAAUAGUCCUUACAAAGAAGGAAAUGCCCGCUCUCUCGGUUGCGAUUCAAUGCCGGAAGGUGCCCCGAAAUGGAGCCAUGGAACAAUGGCCGCUGGCUAUUGAGGUGGUGAUGGACCAACACGGUAGUCAAGAACUCCUCCUCAUCAUCGGACGAGGAAUCGCCGGAGUUACAAAGGAAAUUGUGAAAAAAGAACUCAUCGACAGAGUCCAUGUUGUACCUUGGCAAACUGUGGAACAACUUGUGGGCGUCGACGAAGGACCCGGCCGGCGAAGGGAGUUGCGCCGCCCUCGGACCAGCUAG
RNAcentral lists this ribosomal RNA (366 nucleotides) under Triticum aestivum (bread wheat). RNAcentral describes it as "partial small subunit ribosomal RNA". Lineage: Eukaryota; Viridiplantae; Streptophyta; Magnoliopsida; Poales; Poaceae. The record is from RNAcentral.